GACUUCACGUGAUCCGCGCACCUCAGCCUCCCAAAGUGCUGGGAUUACAGGCGGGAGCACCGCGCCCGGCCCACUAAGAACAAUUCUAAAGGUAACUGCUUUUGACAAAUUGGAAAUCUAACUCACAGCGGCUUGUUUUUCUGGAAUAACUCCCUUCUAUAGAACUCUUCUAAGUGUUGAUUUUGCAAAGAUGUUUCCAAAUCAGAUUUGCCUAAUUAUGUUUAUGUCUACCCAUGCAGACAUACUGAAAGACUAAGAAAUCACACAGCACAGGACAACGGAAGCAACUUGAAGAAAUUUCAGAUAUUCUUGAAAGUAUGAAUUACAAUCACAGAAAAUGUAUUUCAUUUGUCAAAAUUCUUGAUUUCUCAAGUUCAAAAAUGCCUUGGCACAUUUCCACGGCUCCUGGCUAGAAGGAGAAUUUAACUUGGCUCUACUCCCAGAACUGAAAUUUUGUCUCUCAAAGGACUGGUGCAUCAUUUUGCGGCUGGAAGCUUGGAAAAGCUCUGACAGACUCAAGUCUCUGCUGUGCUUCUGUGGUGGAGCCUUGGACAGCCGUGGGGUUAAGGUUGUUGGAUUCAGAGUUGCUAUUCCUCCACUGCAUCGGGACAGGAUCCCAUCCAGGAUCGCACAUUCCAUGUAGUCACUGCCUCCUUAGGCUCCUCCUGGCUGCGACAGUUUUUCAGAUUUCCCUUGUUUCUGAUGAUCUUGGCAGUUUUGAGGAACACUGGUCAGGUUGAUUUUAGUGCAUUUGAGCUACAAUCAUAUUUUAUUAUCUAGAAAAUGCCUUGAAGACAUCUGUGGACCUACAGACUUCCAGAGCUACUUUCUGCAUACAAAGGAGGCAUGAACAGGGCUUUCUACUCAGAAGUGGACUAAGGUGAAUCCAUCCAACCAACAUCUGUCAUAGUUCUUUGUGUCCCAAACACCUCAUAUAUGUUGAAAUUAGCUGAUUUCAUGAUUCAGAAUAGAUCCGGUCUUCAACCUCAAAGUUGUCCAGUGCAUCCCCAGUUCAACCUCAGAAGAACCUUUCAGAAGCCCACCAGCUCAUGAAACAUUCCUUCUGGGGGUCUCUGGUGGGCACAGAAUAAGCCCCCCUUCCCCUCAGGGUCUGCCUGUCUGCCCCUUAACCUGUUCUCCUGCUCCUCCAUUCCGGGUUCCCUCCAUCUAAGGCAAACUGCCCAGGGCACCUGCCCAGCAUGGAAAGUUUGGUCUUCAGGGUCUUGACUUUUUACCAGCAUCUCUGAAGCCCCAAAGUCAUAUAAGAAUUUAUUUGACUGAAAAUUAUUUGAGAACUUUAUGUGUUAAUUUUCCUUAUAAAGUGAAAGUUGAUCACUUUCUUUUCCCAUAUUUCCUUUGCCCAGACACAACUUACUGUUACUCUGUUUUCAAUAUCGAAGCAGGAAAUGGAAUUCACUGUGAGCCUGCCCCAGUGCUAUUCAGACUCAUUCUAUUCAGGGAGCAACUUCACUCCAUAAUUUGUGUAGAUACAGUUACUUACCCACCCCCUCCCUAGUGCAUAACUCCCCAAACACACCCACAGACUUCUUCCCCUAGGGAACUACUCAGUGGUGUGUCUCCCUUUACCAGUCAAGUGCACACAAUCAGUGCAUGCUGUGCUGGUCAAUGUGGUGAUCUUUUUCCCUCUUUUAACCUGGGGAAGAGAGUUUAUGGCAGAAAUCACAGCUUUAAUCCACACAUCUUCAUGUACCAACUUCAAUGUUCUAUAAGACAGAGAACAGAAUGGGUCCAGCGAUUCCUCCUGAGCAGUUGUCACGGAAAUCUCUUGCUCUCCUUUGGGAAGAUGACUUUCACUCUUAAUGAUGCAUCAGUACUCACCAUUAUUACAUGGACUGGUGAACGAGAACUUGUUAUCUGCCAGCACUGUGCUGUGCUUCACUCAAGCUGGUUAAUUCCUGCACUCUUCUGUGUUACUGAACGAUUUUUCUUUUCUUCUGAAUGGCAGUUUUUAAACGUAGGACUACUGUUUCUUCAUCAUUUGAGUUUGGGAAUUAGGUCUCAAAUGAGGCAGCUUAUGAAACCUGCUUUGGAGGUCAGGGGUCUUCUCUAUAGUGGAAAACAUCUACCUGACCCUUUUCGGGCCCCAAACUCCUCUCCAGGGUGUAGUGAAUGCAUGGCACUGGGCAUCCCUCCUGUAAAUGGAGGAGCUUAGAUCUCUGGAGGAAACUUCUGGGCUAGUAUGUGGCUACCACGAAAAUGGCUACAAGUGGGAAUAAAAGGGCUUUGAUCACCUAGUCUUGAGUUCCAGGCAGUUUUUCUGGGCCAUGCCACUGAUCAAGCAUGGUGACAUCGAAGGAAGGUAUUCUCCUUUUUUUCUUUUUUGAAAGUGUCUCGCUUUGUCGCCCAGGCUGGAGUGCAGUGGUGCAAUC
Molecule: long non-coding RNA, 2390 nt
Organism: Macaca mulatta (Rhesus monkey)
Lineage: Eukaryota; Metazoa; Chordata; Mammalia; Primates; Cercopithecidae
Gene: CAV2-DT
Product: CAV2 divergent transcript
Source: RefSeq, a predicted model, not a curated record